Gasterosteus aculeatus aculeatus (three-spined stickleback) is the source of this 6929-nucleotide long non-coding RNA. The record is from Ensembl. NCBI's taxonomy places the organism in Eukaryota, Metazoa, Chordata, Actinopteri, Perciformes, Gasterosteidae.
UGAACAAUAGGAUUUUGAAGUGAGAGGAAAGAGGGAUACAGUAAAACCAGGUUGCAAACGAAGGGGAGGGAUAAAUAUCUAAUGACAAAAGCUUCUGAGGUCAUUGACUCGCUCACACACACACACACACACACACACACACACACACACAAACACACACGCAUACUAAUCUAAGCAAUCUACAAAGCCAGACAGCAGAUAUUUAGCAAUCAACUAAAUGAGUCUAGUGAACAUUAAUCCAACUUUAACUUAACUUUAACUCCCUGCUGGCAAAAGGUCCCAUAUAUAACUUUCAGAAACUAGCUGCCCUUUAGGCAGCACAUAAGCGCUCUGUGACCUGAUGUCUCUUUGCUUUAGUUGUUUUUUUAGGACAGAUUACUUUAGGGAAAGGCUAAGGCUUGGGUUAAAGUAACACAUUAGUAAGGGAGCCAUCACAUAAUAAUUAGACCAACGUUGACUGUUAGUAGGUAAAAAGAAACAAAGCAGUCUUCUUACAACGUGGACAUUUUGUGGACACAUCCAACAGCAUUACUUUCACUCUUUGUGGACUUUUUCCUCCGUCACUCUUGAUGGACAAGGAGUAAACGUCUUUUCUUGGGAGAACCGUCACUCCUUUUCUGACCUGACUACACUGUUAAUCAGCCUGCAUAUAGAGUUUCAAGACUUCCUUCUAGUCGAGUAUAGCCGAAGACUUACUUUGCCAACCAGAGAACAGAGACAAUCUACCCUCCAGUUAUGUACAGUCAUUACAUUAUCCUCCACUGUCAAUUGUCCCAAGUACUCCCUCGACGUCUAUCGGCUUAAUUCCUCUGUGUUUGCUCUCUCUCUCUCUCUCUCUCUCUCCCGAACCCUGCUUAUUUAAGUUAAUCUAGUCAAUUGCCUUUUUGUAACAGCACUUUAGGGGAACUUUGUUACGACAAUCAUUAUCCUAAGUAGAAAUGAUAUGACUCAUUACUUCUCUGCCUUUGUGCUUCCAAAAGUUUAAAAUAUUUUUUUAAAAUAUUUUUUUCCGUUGUUUUCUCUUAAACAUAGUAAGGUAUGGAUGUGUGAGCACGGCAUAGCUCAAAUUCAAAAUGAAUAUGUAUUAUAAUAUUAUUCAAACCUAUUGUAAAAUGUCCAACUGAUUUACUGUCUACUGCUCCAUGUGGCAAACAUAGGAACAACAGGACCAGCAGCACCAUCAGGUGUGUGGUGUGUUCAUAUGGAUGUGGGUAUCCGGGACGUGAUGUUUACAUGCAACAUAGAUAAAUAAGAUGAUUCCCCUCUAUGUAUAAUAAACGGUAUCCUGGUUACAGAUUACAGCAGUCUGUUUAUGCAGGCCCUUGUCAUGUUUACAAAACCAAACCUAUACUGCACACUUACUGCCACUUGACAGCUUUAUUUUGCAUUUGUUAUCUGCUCCGAUUGCCAACAUCUGUCUGCUUUGAGCUGAUUGCAAAAAAGGUUCCAAAAAGUUUCCAAAAUUUACUGGAAAUGUUCCGCCACCCUUGCAACCCUAAACAGCAUUCUCAACUAUUUUUCAAGAAGAAAAUAGCAACAAAUUCUAAUUAAAUAAAAAAACAGCAUGGAAAUGCAAAGACGAAUACGCAAUGGAAAAAUCCUACGAUUCUGUAGGUAGCAUGUAGGAAAAUGGAAAAACUGAGAUGGGGAGAGACAGGGUUUGAAUGCACUUGGGAAGUAAAGCGGAUUAGACACAGGAGGAAUCAAUAAGGGCGCAGCAGACAAUCACAAGGGUGGGAAAACAAACAAUGGCACAAAGUGAAGUGAGCUGGGAGCACAAGAGGCGGGGAAAUACAAAAUAAAUCAGCAAAUCAACCACCACAAAUAAACAAACGAAAGCAAAGACUGUUAAACAUAGUUGGUAUUAAACAGUGGCGCACUAAAAAUAUGCAGCCUUUUUUAUCGCUGAAAGAUUAAACUGUUCUUCCCAUAAGAGAAUAAUGGCAAAGCCACGACAGAGCAAUCUUACUGCCGGUCACAUGUGGGCAACUUUAUGAAUGUUUAAUCCAUAAUAGUCGCCCUUUCACAAAAGGCUGAGGAGUCUUCCAGUACAUUUAUGGAUCAAAUCACCCGAGUCUCAUGAAAAAAAAAAACACAGGGUCCCCAUUUUCACUCAACAUUAUCCCUAAUCACCUAAACACAAGCAGUUCAUUCAGACCUGUUUGUGAAAGUAGCCACGAGAAUCGAUUGAUGAAGAAUGCGAAACAGAAGACAUAAAAACAAGUUGCGGGUUGCCCAUGAACUUUGGCAUGAGGCAGAGUGCAUAGCAGGGUCAAACUAUCCGAUUUCCAUUAACUUACUGAUCUGUUGUCAAAUAACCCCAUCCCUUGUGCAUUGGUCUCAACUGAGUGCACAAAUCCAGAAAAAAAAGUAGAGUGAAUAGCUGGUACAUUAUUUUGCUUCCAACUUUACUCUUCGGCACCAGAUUAUUGUCAAUGCACAAUAACUAGAAACCGCAAUACUGGUGUGGCCAUCAUAUACCAAAGAAGUUAUCUAGAAAAAUAAUGAUCAUUCAUGUUCAGUAACUUCCUCUGCACCAUGUUUUAAAGUGUGAGACAAUACGAUUGGUCCGAAAGUAUUUGCUGGCAACAAUCCAGUUUUAGAAUUGGAUGAAAUAAAGUGGACGGCAGAGAAUUAAUUGGGUUGGACUUAAUAAAAAAAGAAAAUAAUUCAUUUCUGGUCCGGAGGACGUGUCGCAAAAGGAAAAACGAGUGAAUUGUGAAUGCGAUACAUUUGGCUUGAAUUCAGCUCUAACACCUGGGCAGCAAUGCUGGAACCAAUACUUUUCAUAAAUGUACAUUAAGAGCCUUUUUUGUGUCUGAUACAUUAUUACCGCAGUCAAAUGUUUCGGUUUCUCAUCCACGUGACCCACACCUGCUUAGAUUGUGUGUCUUCUGAGCUCAUGGGAUGAAUUUCCGUUGUUCUGCCUGGGAAGUUUGGGCUUAUCAGAAGGAGGAGAGUGGAAACCACUGUGCACAAUCAAGUCUUCUCAGCGGGGAGGCGCGGGACCUGUUCAGAUGUAGGAAGAUCAAAUACUUCCGAAGCAAAUUUAAAAUGUGUUAUUAUGAGUGAUAAUAUAGAUGAAUUGUGGUGUUAGCUUAUAUUGAUAGGUAUUUCCUAUGGUUUUAAUGCAACUUGGUUCAGAGGAGAAACUGGCUUUGGGGCUGCAGGUUUGUUAAGUUAUGCUUCUUUCUUAAUUUGAGUAGUUUUCUACUCGGAUCACUUCAUUUAAGCCCUUCAUGUUGGGUGGUGGCAUUUACUAUAAUUCCGCACCAGGUGUCCAACUACUUUUCAUCAGUUAAAUUUAGUAAAGGGCUGAUGUUUCAGAAUGAAAAUAAUUGUAACAUUUAUUCAUAAUAAUUAUGACACUGCAAAAGUUGAAGGAUAAUGGCAGUUUGUGAAAGCUUUCUAUGCAAAUUGCCUCUCCCGGAGGGGUAUCCAUCAGUGAAAUUUGUUUUGGUAUCCGGGGCAUAUUUCUUUUUUUCUUUCCUCUAAUUUGUUCUAUCUUGUUUUUUUUCUUUGAGACGGUGUGUUUGUCGUGCCAUAGUGGCCAUCAUUCUUGCAGAUAUCACAGUUGGAGGAGUUUCCAUUAACGGGCAAGGAAAAAUGACCAAAUCCGGCCGGGCUCAGCACCUCGGAUGGCGACUGGGAAUUAAUACAAAAGAGGUGUCUGAUCUCUUCCUCCACAGUGAAUGGAAAAAGGGAAAAUGAGGAGGGGAAACCUGCUUCACAAGCCCCCAAAGGGCAAAGUAAACUUGUAUCUAAAACUAAAUCAGUUCAACAUGGGCUCUCAUGAUCGGACAAUUAUUUUCAGUGGCCAAGUUGCUUUCUAGUCUACACCAGGAAUCCAUGCAUGAAUACGUUCCAGUAGAAAAAUCUGAGUGAAUCUGUUUUCCAAUAUCACUCUUUGGUAAUUAAGAGCACAUUCUGACUAGUGACUGGAAGUUUAUUCUUCUUUUUAAAAGAAAAAAAUCAUUACACACCAACACACAUGUGUUUUGAUGCUGUCUGUCGGCCAUUCUCGGUUUAGAAAUUAAAAUUGUAUAUGGAGGUCUUUUCAUUGUCGAGAGUCAGUUAGCGUGUUCUGUGUUCCUGAUCAGGAUGUCGUCUGGUCGCCUCUCUCUGCAUGUUUAUUGGACAUAUCUUACAAGAAUGGGACCCCGAGGAAGUCCUUUAAAAUGCUGGAGCGGAUCCCAUCCUACUCUCAGGUAGGAUGGGAUACGUGACCAUGGCAUAUGGUCCCAUCAGGCCACGUUGCUUAGCCUGCUGCUACUGUCAUUCAGGCCUGCAGGUGCAAAAAGAGGAUGCAGACUCACAACUGAAUGGCAAACCUUUUAAAGUGCAUUUUGAAAUGUUUUUCUUUUUUUUCUCCAGUGCAAUUAAUUCACAAUGAGGUAGUCAUGCAGUGUACGACUCAUCCCAGAGAACAUUCUGCACCCACGACUUUGCUUAAGUGUUCACUCACUUUAAACUGACAGAGAGAAUUGUCCGUGAAAUUCACCUAAUUUCUUCAGCAGUUUCAUUAUAGUUAUCACGGACGAAGCACUGCAGAAUGUUUGCUCGGUCACCUUACUGGCAAACUGAGGUUGCUUGCAAAAACGACAGCAAAGCCUCUAUCACCAGACAUCAAUGAAAUGCCUUCGCAUAGCCCAUAUCAAUGGGUUGCUUACCACUGAAAACAUUUCUGCAAAAAGCUGAUAAGUAAGAAGCACUAUGUAAUACCUUUAGACUGAGUGCUGCUGGCUCUCAACCCAAACAUACACUGCUGAAGAGCUGAUAAUGGAAAUGUCAUGAUACGUGGAGAGUCACAAAAUUAAAAAAAGACAAACCUUGAGAUGUGUCGUGAUUUUCAUUUUAUUAAAUUGAAGUCCAGAAGCAGUUGCUGAUGGGCCCGAGUGAAAAUAAGAGAAACGGAAUGAACACAGCGGUUGCCACUCCGAAAAAAUGAAAUAUUAUUUCCUUAGGAGAACCUGCUUGGUGAAAAUAUCAAAGACUCACCGCAAACAUUUAAUUUCAGUCUGUGGAUAGUUGUGCUGCAUCAAUAUUUCCUACACUAGAGCCCAUGAGGUCUGGUGGAUGGUCGGACUGCUUGAUUGGUAAGACAGUUGGCUCAUUAACUCACUUCACAUGAAUUGUUCCCCAAAAAUGGGUGAUUAAUACUUAUUGAAGUACCCUGUAAACUCUGUUUUUGUGGUCACAUGCAGGUGCCCGGUUCCCAAAAAAUAUAGUCUCAGAUAAAACUCCUUUAGAGGUUUUAUAAUGCUCUGAACUGCUUAGCAGUCUGAACAAAGAAAACACUAAACGCACAACUCAAAUCUUCAUCACAUGACUGUAUGAUGUUGCCUGAUGAAGUCUAUGGUCAAGGCUCGCUAUAUGGGGAACUCGCCACUACAGAGAGAUUAGCGAGGCCCAGCGAGGAGAUGAAUCAGCACUGUGGGUCCGCUGCUGAGAUCAACCGCUGUUUGUUUGAGUGUGUGUGUGUGUGUGUGUGUGUGUGUGUGUGUGUGUGUGUGAGUGCUACACAAACACAACAGCUUUAAAGACACGCCGGACCACGUGAACGGAGGUUUGCACUUUAUUGGCGAAAACAGGCAAAGAUAAAAGUCAUGCUCUAAAUGCACAUUUCUUUGCUUCGUUAAAGUGACAUAACUGUGUGUGUUUCUGAAAAGGACUGUUUAGCACGUCUUGGGUCAUAUGGCACACAUGUGACAGAUAGAUAGAUGUCAUAUAUCCCACGUGAUGGAUGUCGGAAAAGUUAGGGAGAGGCCCUCAUAGUGGGCUGGGUUAAAAAAAAAAGUCUUUCACCCAUGCGAGUCAGACCAUUAGUCCAUUGCAUUUUCCCUGAUCCAUGUGUUCCUUUGGUUGUCCCCGUCAAUGAAGACAAUGAAGUUGAAUCUGAUUUGACUGCCCUGUAUUCUUAAAACCAAUCUUGGAUUCCAAUUUAAUAGAAAAGCCAAUUUCUUUACUAUCCUCCUAAUGUGACAACAGAUAAUAAGACCGGCGGUUUUUAAUUCAGACUGCUUUGUUAAACCCUUGAGUUUGGCAUUUUGGCCAUCGUCAUCUUGAAUUUUUUGCAACCGGUGAGUGGAAUAGACCUUUUCUACCCCCAAUCUCAAGCUAAAUGGGACCAUAUUUUACUAGAUAAACAUUACACAAGACAGAAGAGAUUGAGACCAUAAAUCUAUAGGGGCGCUUUGGCUUACUACAUUUUGAUAUUGAUAAUAUACAACAUCUAAAAUCUCAGGUUUCAUUUUCAUUUUCAUGAAUGCAAUUUCACUAAUUUGUUAAUUUUUUAUUUCAAAUAUCUAUUAUCAUCCCAAUUGAAUGUGGAAACUGGACGGAUUAUUGCAUCUUAAUUUUUUUUUUCAAGGAGCACAUUUGUAUGUAGCAAAUUCCACUGCUUAUAGUGCAUUACCUACGGGCUUCCACAUUUGCGCCGCCAUUCAGGUCUACACAUUUCAUAGCCAUUCCUGUUAGUAGCUCUAAACGUCUCCCGCUUUUCCCCCAAUCACCUGAUCAUAACCUAUCAGCACACCUGUCCCUCAUUCCCCAGCCACCCAGUGUAGCUGCCCACACACAGUAAUCCUCUGCCAGAGCAGUAAUGUUGUGUCACAUUAGUUUAGAUUCUGGGAGAUAUGUAUCCAAAAGAGAAACGAUGGCUAUAGUUUACAGCACAGCUAAGCAGCAGGAAUUGGUGGCACAGUGAUUAACUUGAAUCAAAUCAUAAAGUUUCCCUUUGAGAGUCAGUGUGAAAAUAGAAGAAAGCCAAGACCAUCAUUCCUUGGUGGAAUAGUUCAUCCUCUUUAGUCUGAGUGAGUGAAUGUCUCGUUUACUUUUAACACAGCAGUUCUCUAUGGAAAUACUGUUUCCCGAGGAAAGUCUUUUUGGUCAAAUUUUUUCUUAUUAAAAACUCUUUUAUUCUACUCUUU